This 253-nucleotide ribosomal RNA is filed under the name uncultured bacterium. Its description in RNAcentral is "partial 16S ribosomal RNA". It matches the Rfam family "Bacterial small subunit ribosomal RNA", at positions 524 to 776 of the family's 1533-position model. The record is from RNAcentral.
GACGGAGGAGGCAAGCGUUAUCCGGAAUUAUUGGGCGUAAAGGGUACGUAGGCGGCUGGUCAAGUCUGGGGUCAAAGGCCACAGCUCAACUGUGGGAAGGCCCUAGAAACUGAUCGGCUAGAGUGAGGUAGGGGUUGCGGGAAUUCCCGGUGUAGUGGUGAAAUGCGUAGAGAUCGGGAAGAACACCUGAGGCGGAAGCGCGCAACUGGGCCUCAACUGACGCUGAGGUACGAAAGCUAGGGGAGCGAAUGGG